Salvia miltiorrhiza (redroot sage) is the source of this 2465-nucleotide RNA transcript. RefSeq lists it as uncharacterized. The transcript has 2 exons. The record is from RefSeq and is a predicted model, not a curated record. NCBI's taxonomy places the organism in Eukaryota, Viridiplantae, Streptophyta, Magnoliopsida, Lamiales, Lamiaceae.
UUCCUUGGGCUCAUGCUUAUUUCUGCUUGGGUGAUUCCCAAAUCUGUUUUCCCUGAUUAAUUUUGGGUGAUUCCCAAAUAUGUUCAUGAUUAUUUGUGCUUGGGUGAUUCCCAAAUAUGUUCCCAAUUCUGUUUCGGGUGCUCUUGCUGAUCUAUUUUCCCUGAUUAAUUUUGUGAUUGGGUGAUUCCCAUUCUGUUUCCCCUGAUCUAUUUUGUGCUUGGGUGAUUCCCAAUUCUUGGUGGCUGCAUGCAAGAGCACUAGGGUUUGUUGGUUGGCAAUUGGAUCUGAAAUGAUAUAAACAUGCUCUGAUUUUGCCACUAUGAUGGUUAAAUGUGUUGUCUGUGCUUUGUGUGUUCGUGUGCUUACGUUGUGAUGUGUAGUUGGCUGCCAUCUUAAUUGUUGGGUGUGUAGUUGGCUGCCAUCUUAAUUGUUGUGAUGUGUAGUUGGCUGCCAUCUUAGUUGUUGGGUGUGUAGUUGGCUGCCAUCUUAAUUGUUGGUGUGUAGUUGGCUGCCAUCUUAAUUGUUGGGUGUGUAGUUGGCUGCCAUCUUAAUUGUUGGGUGUGUAGUUGGCUGCCACAUUCAUUAAUGCACUAUAUCUUCAUGUAGGCCUUUACAAAAAAUAAGCCUAUCUAUGUGCCCUACUACAGAUUCUAAACUGCACUAUAUCUUCAUGUAGGCCUUUACAAAAAACUGCACAAAAAACAUUUUGGUCUUGCAGAUGCUAAACUGCACUAUACCUUCAGUUUGGCCUUUACAAAAACUGCACAAAAACUGCACUAAAACCCUUCUAGAUGAUAGCUUUAAUCAAGCAACAUCAUGGCAUUGAAAAGUUCUUCAAUGCCAUCCAUAUUUGCUUCAUUAAUGCCUAAUCUAUCCAUUAGCUCUUCUAGUCCUUCCUCUGCACCUUGAUCUUUCAAAUACUUCAUGCUUUGUGUGACAAGUUCAUGGGGGACUUCCAAACUUGUUGGAAGCAAAUCUUGUCUAAUCAAUGCCCCUUUCUUCAUAUGUGGCAGCUUAUAACAGUUAUUGCCCUUCACCUUCAUGAUCUCCAACAUGCAACCUUGUAAGCUUAAGAAAACACAGUUUAAAGCCAUUGGAUCUAGGUCUUCAUAAGCUUUAUGCACUGCAUUCACUAAAUCAUCAACAUCACUGCAUGCAAUUUCAGUUUGUAGGCUUUGAAUGGCCCUAAAAAACCCAAGGUCAUUGAUAUUGGUGUCGGGUGAGUUUGGAGGUUGAUUCACAAUGUUGAUAUUGAAACCAUCACGUGUGGCAGCCUCUCUAAACUCCAAGUCAUCAUUGCAAAUAUGUGGUCUUGCAUUAUCUUGUUGAAUAAACACAUCUUUGCUUGCAAAAGAGGGCCACUUGGUUAUGAUGGCAGGCACAAUCUGUUGUUUUACAUAAAAAAAAGCAUGCAAAUGGUCAGUUCUUUGAUGUUGACAAUCUGCAUUCACUAAUUGAUGCAUAUAGGCAUUACCUUGUUGAUGAAAAAGUCUCUCAUAACUGGUUUGCUCACACUUUCUAUGGGCUUUUGCUCUAGAGUUCCAGCCACCCUGUUCUUACUUGAUCUUUUUGCUGCCACCAUCUCUGUAAAUGGGAAUAUGCCUAUCUUCCCAUCAAAUAUAAUGCUGCCAUCUGCAGCAAAUAGUGGUCGGCACACUGCAGAUAUGAACAUCACCUUCUUUAUGAAGUUCUUGUUCUUGCAUGUUCUAUGUGGUUCAGCCUCUGUUGGUGUUAAAUAGAACCUGUGAGAACUCUUUGUUAAGUAAAACCAUUUCUCAUCUACGUGUACAAUGUUUUGCAUGCUCUUGAACCUCAAGUUAUGUGACAGCCUGCCCAUCUCUAUUGCAUCUAAGCAAAACCUCAACCUUAACAGCUUAUUUUGGGCUGUAAGGUCAGGUCUUAGUGCACUCGUGUGAGCUUUGAUCAGACCUUGAUCUAUCCACCGACCUACGGUGCUCUUGCUGCAAUUUAUUCCAUUAGCUAGUCUCCUUAUGGUGGACCUCUUUGUUAAAUCUAAACUUGCAAUUAGCUCUAGCCCAAAUGCGCGAAACAGUUCGCCGGCAGACGUGGAACUUCUCCUCCAUAGCUUUCAUCUUCCCUCUUGGUGGCUUUCCAUUUUUGCUUUCAAGAAGAAGGAAUUGAAGCAUUGAAGACCUCUCCUCUGUUGUUAAAUCCUUUCUUCUCAUCUUUUUUUUUUUUGGCACUUGUUCUGCUCGCAAACUGCUCUCAGAAAUGGUGAGCAAACAAACAAAUGCUCUGUAUAUAUAGCUGAUGUUGGACGCACAGUGUAGCAAUUUCAAAUUUAUGGAAUGAAAUGAAAGUUUGGCCCACCAUUUCUGCCGCCUUUUUUUUCCCUCUAUUUUGCUGUGUUUUAGCAACAGUUACUGUUCCCAAUUCAUAGUUAAUCUAAUAAACAAUUCAAUCACAUUAAAUAAAGCAUUUUAAAAUUAAUUUAAAUUGUUGAA